AGAGUUUGAUCAUGGCUCAGAGCGAACGCUGGCGGCGUGCUUAACACAUGCAAGUCGAGUGCGCAGCUUCCUGUAGCAAUACAGGGAGUGGGCGCACGGCGCACGGGUGCGUAACACGUGGGCAAUCUGCCCUCGGAUGGGGGAUAACUCGUCGAAAGGCGAGCUAAUACCGCAUGACAUUCCUGGAACUCCGGUUCCGGGACUCAAAGGCCGCAAGGCCGUCUGAGGAGGAGCCCGCGCCCGAUUAGCUAGUUGGUGAGGUAACGGCUCACCAAGGCUUUGAUCGGUAGCCGGUCUGAGAGGAUGGCCGGCCACACUGGAACUGAGACACGGUCCAGACUCCUACGGGAGGCAGCAGUGGGGAAUAUUGCGCAAUGGGCGAAAGCCUGACGCAGCGACGCCGCGUGGGGGAUGAAGCUUCUCGGAGUGUAAACCCCUUUCGACCCGGACGAAUGACCCGCAAGGGUUUGACGGUACGGGUAUAAGAAGCCCGGCUAACUACGUGCCAGCAGCCGCGGUA
This 520-nucleotide ribosomal RNA is filed under the name uncultured Acidobacteriota bacterium. RNAcentral's name for it is "bacterial SSU rRNA". It matches the Rfam family "Bacterial small subunit ribosomal RNA", at positions 8 to 522 of the family's 1533-position model. Lineage: Bacteria; Pseudomonadati; Acidobacteriota. The record is from RNAcentral.